This is a long non-coding RNA of Ctenopharyngodon idella (grass carp), 669 nucleotides long. RefSeq lists it as uncharacterized. The record is from RefSeq and is a predicted model, not a curated record. Lineage: Eukaryota; Metazoa; Chordata; Actinopteri; Cypriniformes; Xenocyprididae. The transcript has 3 exons.
AUAAUAAUUCUAUUAUGCAAAGAACCAUGUAGUCAAGAACCCUAAAGCCAAAAUUGUUGCUGACAAGAACCUAAGAACCAUUUACUGAGGCCAUGAACUGAAGAACUUGGUUUACACAUGUUUUGAUGAACAUUUUUAGGAGCAUUGCUCAGUGGAUCUGGGGCAGAAAUUAUGGCUUUCUUCACAAAAUGAAAGGCUGUGAUCCGAUCCGAUAAAUCAGUGCCCUCUGCUCUUCUGGAAAGUUUGAAGAGAGACUGUAUAGAUACCAGAGCAGACUACUUCUUGGUGUUGAGAAAAGAGAGAGAUAUUGACCUCAUCAUUUCCCUGGAUUUCAGUGAUGAUGAUCCUUUCAAGAUCGCGCUGUGUGUUUAGUAAUAAUAGAGUUAAAGGGGCGGAGGAGAAAGAGCAUUGCAGACACACAUCGCAGGCUGUCUGUGCGCUCGGCCUCUCCAAACACACACGACGAAGAGCCGAGCAUCCUCCUCCUCCAGGAUUGGUGAGUGCUCAGCAUCAUCACUGACCGCAGCACGAAGUAAUAUAUGUCUGCCGGUGUUACACCCAAUGUUACACAUCCUCUAAAGCUGAACUGAUAUUCUGACAUUCUCCUGUAAAAUGUCUUGAUACACUUUUGCAUUUAUUCUUACUUAAAAGGUUUUAAAGUGUCCAGGC